GGAUGUGAGGGCGAUCUGGCUGCGACAUCUGUCACCCCAUUGAUCGCCAGGGUUGAUUCGGCUGAUCUGGCUGGCUAGGCGGGUGUCCCCCUCCUCCCUCACCGAUCCAUGUGCGUCCCUCCCGAAGCUGCGCGCUCGGUCGAAGAGGACGACCUUCCCCCCCGAGGAGAGGACCGGUCUUCGGUCAAGGGUAUACGAGUAGCUGCGCUCCCCUGCUAGAACCUCCAAACAAGCUCUCAAAAGUGCAUUAGAAUUCCACGUGUCAUUUAUGUGCCAUCUUAGGAAACUGAGCGCUGAAGCCAGUUAGUGUUUUUUUUU
This 318-nucleotide small nuclear RNA is filed under the name Myotis davidii. RNAcentral's name for it is "7SK RNA". It matches the Rfam family "7SK RNA". From Rfam's summary of the family: 7SK was discovered as an abundant small nuclear RNA in the mid-70s but a possible function has only recently been suggested. Lineage: Eukaryota; Metazoa; Chordata; Mammalia; Chiroptera; Vespertilionidae. The record is from Rfam by way of RNAcentral.